Molecule: ribosomal RNA, 474 nt
Filed under: uncultured soil bacterium
Lineage: Bacteria
Description: bacterial SSU rRNA
Rfam family: Bacterial small subunit ribosomal RNA
Source: RNAcentral
AGGACGAACGCUGGCGGCGUGCUUAACACAUGCAAGUCGAGCGGUGAACUCCUUUCGGGGAGGGAUCAGCGGCGAACGGGUGAGUAACACGUGGGCAACCUGCCCCUAGCUCUGGGAUAACUCCGGGAAACCGGGCUAAUACCGGAUAUGACUUCCUACGGCAUCUCGGGAAGUGGAAAGACUUUCGGCUAGGGAUGGGCCCGCGGCCUAUCAGCUUGUUGGCGGGUAACGCCCACAAGGCGACGACGGGUAGCCGGCCUGAGAGGGCGACCGGCCACGACUGGGACUGAGACACGGCCCAGACUCCUACGGGAGGCAGCAGUGGGGAAUAUGCGCAAUGGGCGAAAGCCUGACGCAGCGACGCCGCGUGAGGGAUGGAAGGCCGUUCGGGUUGUAAACCUCUUUCAGCAGGGACGAAGCGCAAGUGACGGUACCUGCAGAAGAAGCACCGGCCAACUACGUGCCAGCAGCCGC